This 320-nucleotide ribosomal RNA is filed under the name uncultured Bacteroidales bacterium. RNAcentral's name for it is "partial 16S ribosomal RNA". The record is from RNAcentral. Lineage: Bacteria; Pseudomonadati; Bacteroidota; Bacteroidia; Bacteroidales.
GGAGUUUGGUCCGUGUCUCAGUACCAAUGUGGGGGACCUUCCUCUCAGAACCCCUACUGAUCGUUGCCCCGGUGGGCCGUUACCCCGCCGGCAAGCUAAUCAGACGCAUCCUCAUCCAUCGCCGAUAAAUCUUUACUUACUAGGAGAUGUCUCCAUGUAAGACCAUCAGGUAUUAAUCUUUCUUUCGAAAGGCUAUCCCUGAGCCAUGGGUAGAUUGGAUACGUGUUACGCACCCGUGCGCCGGUCGCCAUCUAUCAAAGCAAGCUUCGAUAAUGCUGCCCCUCGACUUGCAUGUGUUAAGCCUGUAGCUAGCGUUCAUC